UACGUAGGGGGCUAGCGUUAUCCGGAAUUACUGGGCGUAAAGGGUGCGUAGGUGGUUUCUUAAGUCAGAGGUGAAAGGCUACGGCUCAACCGUAGUAAGCCUUUGAAACUGGGAAGCUUGAGUGCAGGAGAGGAGAGUGGAAUUCCUAGUGUAGCGGUGAAAUGCGUAGAUAUUAGGAGGAACACCAGUUGCGAAGGCGGCUCUCUGGACUGUAACUGACACUGAGGCACGAAAGCGUGGGGAGCAAACAGG
Molecule: ribosomal RNA, 252 nt
Filed under: uncultured bacterium
Lineage: Bacteria
Description: partial 16S ribosomal RNA
Rfam family: Bacterial small subunit ribosomal RNA
Source: RNAcentral